Long non-coding RNA from Alexandromys fortis (reed vole), 3492 nucleotides. RefSeq lists it as uncharacterized. NCBI's taxonomy places the organism in Eukaryota, Metazoa, Chordata, Mammalia, Rodentia, Cricetidae. The transcript is spliced from 4 exons. The record is from RefSeq and is a predicted model, not a curated record.
UUUUUAAACCAGUCUAAGUUUUCUGUUUUUAAUUGUUACAAAACUAACUAAAUAACUAAAUGAAAAAGCAAUGUGAUAUUUAUAAAACUCAUCUGUUUUCAUUAAACUAGAGUGUGCCUGUUUUUUCACAGAAACAUGAAGUGAGUUGCUUUAAGGAACUUGUCAAAUCAAAGAUAGCCAUAUGCCAGAAAGGCAUUCAAUAAAAAGCAACUUUUUUUUUUAAGAUACCAAAAAGCAGAGAGCAAUCACAAUGUUCCUUCUAUUCCUUUGCUCUUUAUGAAAACAAUGCAACAACCUCUUUCUUCUAAAUGUGUGUAAAAUCUUUCAGCAGCACACAGCUCCAGGCCUGCACGUUUCUGGGGGUGCACAAUAUAAAUACACUGGGGAUCUGUACUAACUAUUCUAAGUAUGGCAAGAUAAGUAAUUCCUGGAGGAAUCACUCUGACCUGUCAUGACUCCCAAAGCAAUAAGUGAGCAUUUAGCAACAACUGGACACAGCCUACAACCUGCAACAACUGGACACAGUCCACAAUUUGCAGGGAUCAUUCAUUCCCUGAGCUGUAAAGAAAGGUCUUCUCAGGGCCACAGUUCUUAGCCUGGAGGAAACUCUCUUCUCCCUGGUUCUUCCCAUCAUCCCCUCUCUGAGCCAUCUCUCCAGUGUCCUCUGCUGACUGUUAUCAACUGGACACAACUUAGAAUCUGGGGAGGUGAGUAUUCACAAGGAACUAAUAGAUCAGAUUGACUUGUAGGUGUUUACAUGACAAAUUUUGAAGGUUAAUUGAUGUAGGAAGACCAAAGUCACUGCUGUGAGUUCCUUUCCUUUGCCAAGUGGUAAUAAACAGUCUAAGAAAUAAGAAAGGUGGCUGAGAGCAAGCUAGCAAGCUAGCAUGCUUGAAUCACUCAAUCUCCUUGACUCCAGGUGCGCUGUGAUUAGUAGUUUUAAGUUGCUCCCGGCUUGACUUCACCACCAUCAAGGCCUGCAAUCUGGAACUGAAAAAUAAAAAUGAGCCAUUUCUUCCCUAAUUUGCUCUUGGUCAGGAUAUUUUAGCAGAACUACAGGAAGAAAAUUAUAAUCAACACUCUAUAUGUUUAGUUCCUUUGUACUUCUCAAAAACCUUAUCUUCAUUUUGUUUUCCAAACUCUUAUUUCUCGAGCCUAGCCUCUCACUAUCAAAAUUCACAGCCCAUUUUGUACUCUUUUAAAAUAUAACCAUAAUGUUGCCUUUUGUUGAUGCAAAACACCCAACUUGCACUUCAAAUUGGAGAAGAGACUUUACUCUGAAAUCAAGUACCAGUGACCAUGGCUUGGAGAACACAGAUUUAGCUCACCCCAAAUCCAUGGUGCAAUGUAUAAACAGUCUGAUGUUUGGUUGCUGGAAACUACUGCUCUGCCUGUACAUUCCAAAUGGUUUAUCUAAUAAUCACAAAGUCAUUAGGUCAGUCACAGAAAUGGGCAAGAAAAGCUCAAAAGAUGGCCUAUGAUAUUUAGCUCUGGAGUUGCAAGAUUUCAAACUGUCUCCAACCAUUGGCAUUCUAACCAAUUAAUUAGCCUUACAGAAGGUACAGCUGAAGAAGGAUUUACACUCUCAAAACACUGUUUGUGUCUUUCUGACACUUGGGUUUCUUUACCAGGAUUGCUUUCUUUUGCAGCCCACACCUCUCAAUUACCUUCCUCUGUCUGUUUUAUUUUUAUAGAUGUUGCCAAAAGUAAACACACAGGCCAUGAAUAGGACUCUUUUCUUCAGUGCUAGAGAAUGAACACAUCUAUGGUUAUAUAUAUAAUGUAUAUAUACAUUAGACAAGUUCUGAUGUUUCAGAUACAUCCCCAGUUUUAAGAGAACCCUUAGCUAAGUCUUGCCAGUAAAGGUAGAAUAGGAGGUCUUGCAUUAUCACCAGUCUGGUGUGUUUCUUAGUUCUUUUCCUUUUUUAUACAUAUUUAUUUUUAUGUGUACAUUUAUGUGCCUGAGUAUUUGAAUGUACCUUCAGGUGCCAGGGGAGGCCAGAGACAUGAGAUUCCCUUCAACUGGAGGGACAUACUCAUGACAUGGAUGCUGCAAACUGAACCAGGAACCUCUGAAAGACAAGCAAGGGCUCUUCACUCCUGAGCCAGCUCUCCAGACUCCAGGCUGCCACCAUUUCUUUGAACAGUCUUUCCUUCACUACUAUUAAUUUUAAUAAUUUUGUUUACUUUGGCAUUUGAAAUUGCAUUUCUGAAAAUUUAUAUGUUGCUUAUUUUUGUUCUUUGAUUUGCUAUUUUUGUCAGAAUCAAUGAUUCCUAAGAGAUUUGAGAUAUUGUCUCUAUUUUCCUUUUGUAAGUGUGUGAAAAAUUGUUGGCAGUUUGGAGAGAAUCUAUUCAUUUUGUUCAUUUGCUUAUUCUCAUAAGAGAUUUUCACUUUUCUAUUUUUUCCCACCCAAAAAGUAUGCUUCUUGAUAAUAUAUAAUGUCUAUAUUAUAUACUUUUAUUUUAAUCUUAGAUCUAUUUAGAUCCAUUGGUCUUGUGUGGAGUUGUAGGUCGACAUGUAUCUGCAGACUCAAUUAAGAAAUACAAGCUCACAAUUGCUAGGUUUCAGAGUUUGUAAAGAAUGCCAGCCUGCCAUCCAAAGCAAUGUGCCCCUUUCCAUCCUUCCCACAAUGGAUAAGAAUUCCUGCCAAGUCAGCAACUGAACGAACAGGAAAGUGGAUGGAACUGGAAAUCAUCCUGUUAAGAGAACAAAUGCUGGGUUCUACAAACAAUAACAGCAAAACACUUAGUAAAAUAGAGACAGCACUGGAGGGAAGACACGUGAGUAGGCUCACAUGUACUCAGGAGAACCUGCUUCACCUGUCUGUCCUAAAAGCCUAGAAUUGCAUCACCCCCAUUACAUGGAUUUUGUAUGAAGAAGAGCACAGCUGUAGGUGGAUCCACUUUACUAUCCAAUUACAAAUCCAGACUGCUCUCAAACUCACGGUGUAGCAGACGAUGAACUUGAAUUCCUGAAAUUGCUGCCUUCAUUUCUCAAAUGCCAGGAUUAUAGGUGUGAUCUUCGACUACUUUUAAAGUCAAAAUUCAGUUGGAAUAAAUGCAUAACACACACUAUCGUAAAACAAAAUUUCACAGCGUAGCACAAAACUGGUGGGUGAUUUUUAUUUCAUUUGUUUCAUCCCAUUCUCUUCCAUUUUGUUUUGUAUUUAUCAUUUCUACAGCCACUGUGCGUUUUGAUGUAAAUGUUGGAAUAUUUUGCUCUUUGUGGAUCUCAACCUUCUAGUCCCAUUGUCUUCUCAUCAUCCAGCUCUCAUGAUAAACUAUUUAUUUUAUUUUAUUUGUCUAGAUUUAAAGUGUUCCAAGUCUAGCUCAUUUUGCUGGGGUCAGGGCAACUAUCAUUCAUUAUCUUUUGUUGAAUUCAUAUCAGGAAAAGAAGAGAAUUUAUCAAAAGCCCAUUUGACAGAUUUUUUUUCAACAGUAUUCUCCCCCUUUCAGAUUUCUUUAUAAAUGAAGUUUUCUUUCUGUAACUCA